AACUCCGAACACCCAGAGAAGUGAUAGGCCUGCGAUGGCAGGGCUUUUCCUCACUCCAGUGCAGACUAGUAAUGGUAAUAUUCUUUUAUUUGGGCUUUAAAGAUAAAGUAGAAGAAAGGCACCACUUGUUCUGAUGCCUGGUGAAGCCACUGAAAGUUCUAGAAAAACAAGAAGCCUGGGAGGGACUGACCCCAAGAAGGUUGAAGGUGUCCAUAGCACUUCCGUUACCAGCAUCUCUCCUAGGAAGAUGCAAACCAGGCUCCAGGAGCACCAGCUCAGGAAACUCCAGCCAACAGGAUCACAACAAAGGCCACAAUAGUUAAAGAUGGAAUGGGACAAGUACACAGAAGGAUGAAAACUCAAGCAGGUGGCAAAUGAGCACAACAGCUGAGGGCUCCUAAGAGAGUCAUGGAAAACUGGAAAAGCUGAACAACCCUGUGGGGCCGCUAAUAAUCACCCCAAUCACCACUGACCAGCGGGGACGGGGAGACGUGGUGACCUGCCC
Diceros bicornis minor is the source of this 505-nucleotide long non-coding RNA. RefSeq lists it as uncharacterized. The transcript has 4 exons. The record is from RefSeq and is a predicted model, not a curated record. NCBI's taxonomy places the organism in Eukaryota, Metazoa, Chordata, Mammalia, Perissodactyla, Rhinocerotidae.